UUGUCACAUGCUUGUCUCAAAAAUUACUCCAUGCAUGUCUAAUUACAAAUUCUAAAACAAAUGAAACCCCAAAGGGCUCAUUAAAUCAUUUAUGAUUUAUUAAAUCGUGCGUUCCACAUGGAUAACUGUGGUAAUUCUAAAGCUAAUACAUGCAAAUGGCCCUGACUUACGGAGGGGCGCUUUUAUUAAAUCAAAAUCAAUCGGGGCAACUCGUUUUUGUGAUGACUCUGGAUAACUUUGUGCCGACCGCAUGGCCUUGUGCCGGCGGCGUAUCUUUCAAAUGUCUGCCCUAUCAACUUUCAAUGGUAGGUGACAUGCCUACCAUGGUUGUAACGGGUAACGAAAAAUCAGGUUUCGAUUCCGGAGAGGGAGCCUGAAAAACGGCUACCACAUCCAGGGAAGGCACCAGGCGCG
RNAcentral lists this ribosomal RNA (414 nucleotides) under uncultured eukaryote. RNAcentral describes it as "bacterial SSU rRNA". It matches the Rfam family "Eukaryotic small subunit ribosomal RNA", at positions 21 to 436 of the family's 1831-position model. The record is from RNAcentral.